This is a non-coding RNA of Paramuricea clavata, 390 nucleotides long. Lineage: Eukaryota; Metazoa; Cnidaria; Anthozoa; Malacalcyonacea; Plexauridae. The record is from the annotation of a GenBank genome assembly.
CUGGCAACUUUGAUAGCGACUAGGUGCAAAAUUUUUUUAUAAAGAUAUAUUGCAUUUAAAUUUCCUUUUAGAAUGACGCCAAUACUACAAGCACAAAAAAAAUCAUAUUUUGGGUUGGUGGCACUUUAAGUGGCUCGAUACAGUUUUUUUUUUAAAUAGAAAAUUUACGUUUUAGACCCGUAUGUUUUGGACAAGUAUUACUUGUUGAAAGACAAGAGGCAUCUUGCUUAUGUAAAACAACAUCCAAAGAGUUUAAAUUUUUCACACUUCGUAUAGAAACUGAUAUACUGGCGGAUAUAUCGACUUUAAAGUAGUCUAACUCGUAAACGACAUCGGUGACCCCCAAAUUUUAUUUCGUAAAAAUUAAAUGAUUUCUCUUAUUACUCAAUU